Molecule: ribosomal RNA, 253 nt
Filed under: uncultured bacterium
Lineage: Bacteria
Description: partial 16S ribosomal RNA
Rfam family: Bacterial small subunit ribosomal RNA
Source: RNAcentral
UACGAAGGGGGCGAGCGUUGUUCGGAAUUACUGGGCGUAAAGGGCGCGUAGGCGGCCGUGCAAGUUAGAUGUGAAAGUCCUGGGCUUAACCUGGGGACUGCAUUUGAUACUGCUUGGCUUGAAUUCGGGAGAGGAUAGCGGAAUUCCCAGUGUAGAGGUGAAAUUCGUAGAUAUUGGGAAGAACACCGGUGGCGAAGGCGGCUAUCUGGACCGACAUUGACGCUGAGGCGCGAAAGCGUGGGGAGCAAACAGG